AAGUCGUAACAAGGUUUCCGUAGGUGAACCUGCGGAAGGAUCAUUAAUGAAAGUCUGGGCUCCGGCCCUCUCUCUUCUACACACUUGUGAAUCUACCCUGUUGCUUUGGCAGGUCUCCACUACGCUGCGGACGAAUGUCUCGGUUCGGUGGUUAGAUCGAAUGGUGCCUGCCAAAGGACACAUCUCAAUACCCUUUUUACAUUCGUCUGAUUUUUCGUUUAUACAAAAUAAAACUAAAA
RNAcentral lists this unclassified non-coding RNA (239 nucleotides) under plant metagenome. RNAcentral's name for it is "partial contains small subunit ribosomal RNA and internal transcribed spacer 1". The stretch from base 1 to 46 matches the Rfam family "Eukaryotic small subunit ribosomal RNA", at positions 1786 to 1831 of the family's 1831-position model. The record is from RNAcentral.